GCCCUCCUAGCUCAAUCGGAAGAGCGUGGGACUUUUAUGAGGCUUGAACCCAAGCUCCAGUCAUCCCAAGGUCGUGAGUUCGAGCCUCACGGAGGGCG
Non-coding RNA from Arthrobotrys conoides, 98 nucleotides. The record is from the annotation of a GenBank genome assembly. NCBI's taxonomy places the organism in Eukaryota, Fungi, Ascomycota, Orbiliomycetes, Orbiliales, Orbiliaceae.